RNAcentral lists this transfer RNA (271 nucleotides) under Anopheles sinensis. It matches the Rfam family "tRNA". From Rfam's summary of the family: Transfer RNA (tRNA) molecules are approximately 80 nucleotides in length. Their secondary structure includes four short double-helical elements and three loops (D, anti-codon, and T loops). Lineage: Eukaryota; Metazoa; Arthropoda; Insecta; Diptera; Culicidae. The record is from Rfam by way of RNAcentral.
GUCAGGAUGGCCGAGCGGUUAAGGCACCAGACUCAAGAGCAAAGUCAGCAUUGUGUAGCUUCUCACGAAAACGUUCGAUAGUGCGGAUUUCUAACACUCGAUAUAUUUCCAAAGGUCCAAGGUCUUUAAACUAAACACAUACAACAAUACAAACCUUAAAGCUUUUCUCCAUAAAGAAUAUAUUGAGCGAUCUGGGUUUCCAUGAAUUCGUGUCGCGCCAUUUCCCGGGCGCCACACCAUGGAAUCGUGGGUUCGAAUCCCACUCCUGGCA